GAUGAAGAACGUAGCGAAAUGCGAUACUUGGUGUGAAUUGCAGAAUCCCGUGAACCAUCGAGUCUUUGAACGCAAGUUGCGCCCGAAGCCAUUAGGCCGAGGGCACGCCUGCCUGGGCGUCACACGUCGUUGCCCCCCCAUCUAAUCCUUCGGGAUUGUGGGGGGCGGAUGAUGGCCUCCCGUGCGCCUCGUCGCGCGGUUGGCAUAAAUGCCAAGUCCUCGGCGACGCACGCCACGACAAUCGGUGGUUGCGAAACCUCGGUUGCCCGUUGUGUGCGGUCGUCGCGCAUCGAGGGCUCGAAAAAAUUGCCGGGCUCCGGCUCGACUUUCAACGCGACCCCAGGUCAGGCGGGGUUACCCGCUGAAUUUAAGCAUAUCAAUAAGCGGAGGA
Molecule: unclassified non-coding RNA, 391 nt
Filed under: soil metagenome
Description: partial contains 5.8S ribosomal RNA, internal transcribed spacer 2, and large subunit ribosomal RNA
Rfam family: 5.8S ribosomal RNA (bases 1-122)
Source: RNAcentral